This 301-nucleotide ribosomal RNA is filed under the name uncultured bacterium. Its description in RNAcentral is "partial 16S ribosomal RNA". It matches the Rfam family "Bacterial small subunit ribosomal RNA", at positions 509 to 807 of the family's 1533-position model. The record is from RNAcentral.
CAGUCGCCGCGGUAAUACGGAGGGUGCAAGCGUUAAUCGGAAUUACUGGGCGUAAAGCGCACGCAGGCGGUUUGUUAAGUCAGAUGUGAAAUCCCCGAGCUCAACCUGGGAAUGGCAAUGGAUACUGGCAAGCUAGAGUGUGUCAGAGGAUGGUGGAAUUCCCGGUGUAGCGGUGAAAUGCGUAGAGAUCGGGAGGAACAUCAGUGGCGAAGGCGGCCAUCUGGGACAACACUGACGCUGAGGCACGAAAGCGUGGGGAGUAAACAGGAUUAGAUACCCGUGUAGUCCCUGUCUCUUAUAC